AACCCUCACACAGCGAGAUCCCCCCACUCUGCUAAAGAAUGUCUGCCCCAGAGCUGAUUGCCUCAGUGAUCACAUUAUGAACUGUCACACUGCUGAGAAAAAAAUAUAAUAGUACUAAGAGAACAAUAUGACCAUGAAAUGAUCACUGAACCCAACUUCAGGAACAAAGCAUGUGGAAAGUAAAAAUUUGAUCAGAUUUCGACGGACAAAUAAAACUGAAGACUAAGUAUGCAAGGACAAAAUUAGACAAGCCAUGGGAAAGAAAUACGGACAACUCUCCAGGAUUCUGUGAAGUAUUAUAACACUAACAGUGUAUGAUGCUGAAAGUUCAGUAGCAAGGAUUUUUUGAAGAACCUGUCAUGUUCUACCUGUAGAAUAGUAAAACCAAACAUGCAAUUUAGAGAAACGAACAAGCUGUAUCGACUGGUGUGCAUUUCCUACUGUCUUUCAAACCCUGAGAAAAUUUGAAAAAUAUCCUGGAGAGAUGUUAGAGAUUAUCUUAAUAAGAAAAUAAAUCUGUCUUUCUAAAUAAAAGACUUAUAUGU
RNAcentral lists this long non-coding RNA (545 nucleotides) under Anser brachyrhynchus (Pink-footed goose). RNAcentral's name for it is "lncRNA (ENSABRG00000003091.1)". Lineage: Eukaryota; Metazoa; Chordata; Aves; Anseriformes; Anatidae. The record is from RNAcentral.